Molecule: ribosomal RNA, 136 nt
Filed under: uncultured eukaryote
Lineage: Eukaryota
Description: partial 18S ribosomal RNA
Rfam family: Eukaryotic small subunit ribosomal RNA
Source: RNAcentral
UGGUGGAGCGAUUUGUCUGGUUAAUUCCGAUAACGAACGAGACUCUAGCCUGCUAAAUAAGUCUGCGGAUCGCUUCGUCUGCAGUACUUCUUAGAGGGACAAGCGGCAUAUAGCCGCACGAAAAUGAGCAAUAACA